Molecule: ribosomal RNA, 819 nt
Filed under: Triticum aestivum (bread wheat)
Lineage: Eukaryota; Viridiplantae; Streptophyta; Magnoliopsida; Poales; Poaceae
Description: partial small subunit ribosomal RNA
Source: RNAcentral
AUGGAUGAGGUCACAAGGGAUAUACAAGGAGAUAUCCCAUGGUGUAUGCUCUUUGCGGAUGAUGUGGUGCUAGUUGACGAUAGUCGGACGGGGGUAAAUAGGAAGUUAGAGUUAUGGAGACAAACCUUGGAAUCGAAAGGGUUUAGGCUUAGUAGAACUAAAACCGAGUACAUGAUGUGCGGUUUCAGUACUACUAGCUGUGAGGAGGAGGAGGUUAGCCUUGAUGGCCAGGUGGUACCUCGGAAGGACAUCUUUCGGUAUUUGGGGUCAAUGUUGCAGGAGGAUGGGGGUAUUGAUGAAGAUGUGAACCAUCGAAUCAAAGCUGGAUGGAUGAAGUGGCGCCAAGCUUCUGGCAUUCUCUGUGACAAGAGAGUGCCACAAAAGCUAAAAGACAAGUUCUACAGGACGGCGGUUCGACCCGCAAUGUUGUAUGGCGCGGAGUGUUGGCCGACUAAAAGGCGACAUGUUCAACAGUUAGGUGUGGCGGAGAUGCGUAUGUUGAGAUGGAUGUGUGGCCACACGAGGAAGAAUCGAGUCUGGAAUGAUGAUAUACAAGAUAGAGUUGGGGUAGCACCAAUUGAGGAGAAGCUUGUCCAACAUCGUUUGAGAUGGCUUGGGUAUAUUCAGCGCAGGCCUCCAGAAGCUCCAGUGCAUAGCGGACGGCUAAAGCGUGCGGAGAAUGUCAAGAGAGGGCGGGGUCGACCGAUUUUGACAUGGGAGGAGUCCGUUAAGAGAGACCUGAAGGAUUGGAGUAUCGACAAAGAACUAGCUAUGGACAGGGGUGCGUGGAAGCUUGCUAUCCAUGUGCCAGAGCCAUGA